Molecule: ribosomal RNA, 425 nt
Filed under: uncultured bacterium
Lineage: Bacteria
Description: bacterial SSU rRNA
Rfam family: Bacterial small subunit ribosomal RNA
Source: RNAcentral
GAAUCUUGCGCAAUGGGCGAAAGCCUGACGCAGCGACGCCGCGUGAGCGAUGAAGGCCCUCAGGUUGUAAAGCUCUGUGGGGAGGGACGAAUAAGCCUAGGUUAAUACCUCUAGGUGAUGACGGUACCUCCUUAGCAAGCCCCGGCUAACUCUGUUCCAGCCGCCGCGGUAAUACAGAGGGUGCAAACGUUGUUCGGAAUUACUGGGCGUAAAGCGCGUGUAGGCGGCUAUGCAAGUCGGGCGUGAAAGCCCACGGCUCAACCGUGGAAGUGCACUCGAAACUGCGUAGCUAGAGUCCCGGAGAGGAAGGUGGAAUACUUGGUGUAGAGGUGAAAUUCGUAGAUAUCAAGUGGAACACCGGUGGCGAAGGCGGCCUUCUGGACGGUGACUGACGCUGAGACGCGAAAGCGUGGGGAGCAAACAGG